AGGGUAGAGAGAGAGGCAGAGAGUGGCGGUGGGAGCGAGUGAGCGAGCAAGCGAGGGAGGGAGGGGAAACGACAGAAGUCGUCUACAUGCGAGGGCGGAGAGACGGGCAGGAGGUGGUCGGAGCAAGAAGACACCCAGAGAGGAGAGUCGAGGACAAGGGAGAGCAGCUCGGAUGCGAGACGGGAGAGGCGUGGGCCCAGGUGUACGGAGAGAGAAGGACGAGCGAAGCAGAGAGGCCCACCGUCAACGCUGCUGGCGCCAUCCAAGAUGGCGGAGCUCAGGUUCUGACCGUGCGCUCGCAGCGCUAUGAGAGCCCGUGUGGACGGCUAGCGCCCGAUCCCACCGCCACUGCCGCCACCGCCGUUGCUCCGCUCCCAGCUGCUGUCACCAGCACCACCGGCCACCACCUGCGCAACCCACCCCUGCUGCGAUGGAAGAAGCACUCCUCAAUGCCUUGAUGAACGGAGCCCUGCUCGUCGUGUCUGUGGCCAUGCUGGCCGGCCUGUGCAUCCGUUGCGGAGGCCCCUGGAACCGCACUUCCAUCCCUCAAAACCUGCGUGACGGAGACGCGAACGAACAGUACCAGCCGACGCCGGGAUUCCGGGUUGUACGACCAGCACCCACGGUGAUGUACCAGCCGCCCAUCCGCAGCUCAGGGUCUGGACAGUCCUCCAACCAACUGUACGCCACCUCUCCACUGCAGGCGAAUCGUCACUCCUCCUUCACGCCGACGAACGACGGUCAGUCACCGGCACGUCGCCUCGCUGCCCUCUCUGUCCUCUCCGUCCCUUUCCCUCAUUUUCUGCUGUUUACUCGCUCGCUGACGUGGAUCUUGUUCCCUGCAGGAGAAAGUAUUCCCAGCUACGAGAAUCCUGGCUCCGAUCAAGAUGACUAUGUGAACAAAGACCCGGACGACAACCCGGACGACAACCCGGACAACUACAUAGAGGUGCUGCCGGACUCGGUGCCCAUCGUUUCCGUCAGUCUCUCGCAAAACAGCAUUCUGUCCGUGCAGAGCUCAGGUCACGAGGACUACGUGAACGUUCAGGAUGACAACUCUGACAACAACAGCGAGAACUACAUCAACAUGCCAGACCGCAAUGCCCCUGCCUUAACACCAGGGAUGUCGCACGAAAGCAUCGACAGCGAGGGCAACACCAGCGCCGACUACGUCAACACCAGCGUGUUCAUCGACGUCCCCGCCUCCAUCUGCUGAGACGAGAGCGAGCGAGGGGGGUGGGCCUCGAGCUGCAUGACAGUGUAGGGGUGUGUUUAGGCUUUUCUCGCACAGGCUGCAGGGUGGCAAACGGAGUUGCGUUUGGAACCACAGCAAGAUGCCCUGAGAUACCUUGGAAGGGUCACCACUGAGACCACGUUUCACCGAGAACAAAGCAGCCUUUCCCAAUACAACAGUACAUUUCACAGCUGACACAGAGGCUUCUGGCAACUACCCUUUUUAUUUUUAAAUCACAUGAAUUGCUGACGAGUCCUGAGAAUGUUUUAUGAUUUGUCACUUGAUUAUUACAAUGGGUCAUUUUCACCUUUUUUCUAUUUAAUGUUUAGUACCAUGUCAACAGAACAUUUUUGCUAUAAAUGUAAAUACCCUUGCGCUGAGUCAAAUAACUUUCAAGUUCAGACUGGUUUGAGCCCUUUACCUACAUUACCAGUGCUCCUUUGUAUUUAUGCGAUUAUCAUGUCAUUCCAGGAUUAACAUGUUGCAUACGUAUAUGUUUCAAAAGCACGCGUACAAAGCUGGGAGCUCUGGCUUUGUAUCGCGGGGAGGUGUGUCGAUGACCCCUGAUUGGCUCCGGUCGAAAAGCACACAAGGGUACGAACACUGAACACAGGUUGGGUUUUAGGACUGUUUUGUUAGGAUGUCAUUCGAAUUUUUAAAUAAACAUUUUCAUUGCGCCUGUUGGUUCCUGUGU
RNAcentral lists this long non-coding RNA (1928 nucleotides) under Scleropages formosus (Asian bonytongue). Its description in RNAcentral is "lncRNA (ENSSFOG00015025593.1)". Lineage: Eukaryota; Metazoa; Chordata; Actinopteri; Osteoglossiformes; Osteoglossidae. The record is from RNAcentral.